This is a non-coding RNA of Pelodiscus sinensis (Chinese soft-shelled turtle), 473 nucleotides long. The record is from RefSeq and is a predicted model, not a curated record. NCBI's taxonomy places the organism in Eukaryota, Metazoa, Chordata, Testudines, Trionychidae.
UCUUGGCUCAGAUCACAAGUGAGUUUUGGAGAUCUUGUGUCUAGAGUACAUUAAUCAAGAUCGCCCUACAGCCUACUUUGAAUGGCUGUCUGCUCAACAGAGUGCAUGGACUGGGUUAUGCUGGAGGGCUGCAGAUGAUGCUUGAGAGGUACUGGCAGAGUAUAGAAGAGCUGCAGGAAAGAAAUAGCAGGGGGCUGUGGUUUGGGAUUGAAGGGCAGUGGCCAAGUUGUGUGCAUAGGGAGGUAUGCGCUAGAAGAGGGAAAUGCUAGAAGAGUAUUGGCAAGAGACAUGUGCAGGAAGGCUGAGAGUCAGGAUGGAAAAACAUCAGCAGAAGUGGGAGUUUCAGGGAAUCAGAAUAUCCUGUCUGUCUGGACUAAACCAGUUUGAAGAGGAAGGUGUUUUGGACUCAAUCCAGAUAAAGAGUGUAUGUUUUGGUUGAGAAAUUGUAUGUCAAUUAUAAACUGGUUGGUACA